AGCUCUGAGUAAAAAAGAUAGAUUUUCUUGUGUUCAUCGAACACUUCGUCAAUCUCCUAUUUUUACUGCGAGCU
Molecule: non-coding RNA, 74 nt
Filed under: unclassified sequences
Source: RNAcentral